Long non-coding RNA from Triticum dicoccoides, 1405 nucleotides. RefSeq lists it as uncharacterized. The record is from RefSeq and is a predicted model, not a curated record. The transcript has 2 exons. NCBI's taxonomy places the organism in Eukaryota, Viridiplantae, Streptophyta, Magnoliopsida, Poales, Poaceae.
UUGUUGUAUCCCGCAAAAAAAAAGUCUAUAUUGGCGUGACAAAUACUGGUAAGUUACUAUAUUCGUCUAGUUUUUGUUACCCACAAGAGAGUUCGAUGAUCCGAUGGGCUGAAGCUUCUAUGCGUUGGCUAGUACUGUAUAAUACUAAUGUUCUGCAAAGGAGACUGAAUGGCGUGAAGGAAGAGCUGCAGCAACUGCAUCUGUGAGACAAAAAUGAGGAAUGAGAAGUUGGGUUAACUUCUUCACAGGUAGGGGAAGCAAUAGAUCAAGUUCACUGGCCACCGGCUGGCAAUGGCUAAACCGUGUUUGCUUGCUUUUCUUGUCACUGAAGUUGAGACUUCAGUAGUGCUGGUAUUUACAGUUUAGCCCUAUGCUUGAUCCACCCUAUUGGCUCAGAACUGAAUUCAGCACUGCAAGUGCUUCAUAGGAUUAGGGCUGACACCGUGGCAGUAAUUGAUGCAGUAUGCUCUUGUUAUUGUGUUUCUAUCUCUUGUUAACUUUAUCGAUCCAACGAGUACUUGGAAGUUGGACGCGAGUGAGGCUGUGCCGUUCUGUUCCAGACUUUAGAUGUCGUGUCUUCAAAAUUUCAUCGUCUUUGUUUCAACUCCAUCAGCAAUCCGGUGGGAUGUCAGAGCCAAUUACCAAUUUCCCGCGACUUAGUUGUUGUGAAAAGUUUUGACUUGGGAGUUGUUGAAAGCCAUGCUUGUUCGCCGUGUCUUCUUAUCUUGGAUGAUAUAUGUCAAAAAGGGACUCAUAUCUGAGAUCUUUCUAGAAGAUUUAAUUUACAAAAUCUAUAGUUUUUGUAUACUCUUUGAUAGGGUGUAAACUCUCGGACGAGGAAAAUGAUCCAUGUGAAAGAAUCCACUAAGAGGCGGAGAAAAUUCGAGACAUAUGCAAGCACAACACUGGAAAGGACCUUGAGAGAGAGAAAACAAUACAAACAGGUCCCGUAGAACUUCACCAUGAGACCUUGUCAUCGCCCGACGCCUUCCUGGCUUCCUCCAUAGUCGAUGGAGUGCUCGUCAGAGGGGAAACCGAGCAUCCUUUACAUCAGGCAGGUGAGGAGGAUCUUCACUUGUCCGCUCUUGGAGGCCUCAAGAGUGGCUCAAAGGGUUUCUGCUUUGUGGAAUGCGGUAGCAGUACUCUAUCACCGCCCAAGAAACCAAAAAGAGCUAAGAGUUGUAGAUGCAGAAUACAAUAUUAGCCAGUAGUAUUGGUAGUUGGUGCAUCGACAACCAUUGAAGAAUAAAACAGUAGUUGUAGGAAUGGUACUAUGGUAUUGUGUAUUUCAGUUGUAGCAGAGCUUACAUUCCUCUUGAGAGGAAGACGUCCUUUGUACAUUCAUGGCUUAUAAUACUGAGUUUGUAAUUUUGGAUAUGCAAUGUUUCUGUCUUUUUUUUACGUA